GGGCAACCUUCUCCAAAGCAAGGAUAUUUUCCUGUCUAAACUGAUGCUUAUUAUUUAUAUUGGAAAGCUCAUCAAAAGCUUGAAGUUGCCUUUGCCUCGAAAGGAAUACAUCAUCUUCAAAUAUGCAAAGUAGAUUUAAUGUUGAUAACAUAAGAGUUACUGACCUUGUAUUUCAGCUGCUCUUACUGUGCACUUUGGCUUUUUCUGUAAUAAGAUCAUCUCUUACUGCCAGAUGAUUAUUGAUCACUUAUGACAGAAAGAAAAAGCCUUGACCAGACUCAUCUAUUCAUUGUGCUCGGCACUAACCAAUACCAAAAUGACGACACCACCCCCCCCCAAAAAAAAAAAAACAGAGCUGCAGUCUAGAAGAGCGUUUACAGCUGAAUCCAACAGGGAAGAAGGGAUCUCCUGGUCAAAUUGGCAUGUCUUAUCAACUUACCUUCUCCAUGAGAGCUGCAAGAACCAUGUUCUUUCUUUAAAGCUCAAGGAUGAUUUUCCAGGAAGAGACUUUUAAAAAUUACAACAAACAAGCCCCAGACUGGAAGGAGGCAAGGGAAGAAGUUACUGUCCUAUGGAUAAUGAGAAGCUGUACUUUCAAUGGAUUUAAUUUGUGUUCAUUAAGCAAGGAAGACAAUUAUUGUUUUUUUUAAUAUUUCAGGAAAUCAUACAGUAAAUGCCCCAAGAAAUGUACUUUGUUGAGGCCAGGACACACUCCAGCACAGCUUCCCACAUGAAGAGCUGUUUGCCAGGUCUGGCUGAUGUACAGUUUUUGUACGAUAUAAUUAUUUCAUUUUGGGGCAUGACUUUUUACCAAAUUAUUUGCAUUAUUACAACACUUAACAUGGAUGUUUUUACAUCAGAAUAAUUGUUGUUUUGUCCUCUAAUUAUGAGCAUAUUUACUAUAACAAAGAACUAGUAGGAAUAAGAGAUCCUUUAGGUCAUCUCCUCUAUUCCUCUGCCUGCAAUGGAUUAUUUCUUACAUAGUGUUCAUUAAAGAUUUUUCCAGUCUAUGAGAAACACUGAAGAGUCAUGUUAUUUGACCGGGGGGAAAUCGUAUAGAACCAGUGAAUAGGAUUAAAGGAACAUCAGAUGGAAACUUUUUUCAUAUGAAGUAUGACAUUUAUACCUUGGCAAUGAGCUAUAGUCACAGUAACUACAGAUUAUUUGCACAAUCAAAUCUUAUUCCAUUUCACAACACUCCCCAGCCUGUUUCCAUGGCAGUCAGAGAGACUUUGCCAUACUCUGUUGGAAGAAAAAUCCUGGAACAAUUGGACUACUGGUAUCUUACUAAUUUCAGUGUUUAAGCAGGAUAUGUGGUGCUUCAGUAUUGGCUAGUCUCCUCUAGGAUGUAUCUACACAUACAUUUUGUGUCUUUGAGGCAGAUCUUUUUCCCUAAGAAAGUGAAAAAAAUCAUAAAGGCCAAAUGCCUUUAUGCCUUGCAUGUAGCAAGGAUGCUACAUACAGUAAAUCAGGGAAUUUCUCUGUUUUAAAGACAAAUCUUAAUUGGAAGGUUU
This 1514-nucleotide long non-coding RNA is filed under the name Struthio camelus australis. RNAcentral describes it as "lncRNA (ENSSCUG00000009141.1)". Lineage: Eukaryota; Metazoa; Chordata; Aves; Struthioniformes; Struthionidae. The record is from RNAcentral.